AAGAGGUUUUUCAACUCCCCUAGGCUUACCGGAAUUGGCCCCUCCAAGUUGCCUUCACUUGCAUCAAGACUAUUCAACCGCGAAAGGUUUCCUAGCGAUGAUGGUAUGAGCCCAGACAAGCUAUUGUUGCACAAGACAAGCUCGAUCAAGUUCGCUAGCUUGCCAAUGCUCUCUGGAAUCACUCCGUACAUGCCAGUAUAUCCUACCGCAAGGAUACUCCCAGAGAUCCUAUUAUCCAUCAAGAUUAACUGCUGGAGAGUUGUUGAGAGGUUCACAAUUGAACCUGGUAGUUGUCCUCCGAAAGAAUUCGUGUAGAAUACCAAAGAACGCAGUUGGCUGCAGUUUGCCAAAGAUGCGACGAAUUCCCAACCCUUGUUGUCAUUCGCUUCAAGAUUAUUUUCACCCAAGUUGACAAAUUGGAGAGCUUUGAGCCCCCCCAAUGUGGGAGGCACAUACCCACUAAAUCUGUUGUCCACGAGGUCAAGUAAUAUGAGGGAAGAUAUGUUGGAUAUUGAGGAAGGGAUGAUUCCUAUGAAGGGAUUACUACCCAAAGCAAGAUAUUUCAACUUGGGAAACUUGCUUGCGAUGUCAUCCGGAAUGCUUCCGUCUAGCAUAUUCCCCCCUACACUAAAUACUUCCAGUGAUGACCAAUUGUAG
Molecule: ribosomal RNA, 657 nt
Filed under: Triticum aestivum (bread wheat)
Lineage: Eukaryota; Viridiplantae; Streptophyta; Magnoliopsida; Poales; Poaceae
Description: partial small subunit ribosomal RNA
Source: RNAcentral